GUACUGAUGAAGAGUCCCAAAACAGGAUGAAACAGCUGCCCAGUAC
Molecule: non-coding RNA, 46 nt
Organism: Trichobilharzia regenti
Lineage: Eukaryota; Metazoa; Platyhelminthes; Trematoda; Strigeidida; Schistosomatidae
Source: Rfam